Molecule: non-coding RNA, 209 nt
Organism: Caenorhabditis elegans
Lineage: Eukaryota; Metazoa; Nematoda; Chromadorea; Rhabditida; Rhabditidae
Source: Ensembl
UUCUCUACACCCUCCCGGGGCGCGGUCGGGUCGUGGCCGUCGGCGCCCUGGGUAGGCGCCGACUUGCACCCGCGGCGACACAAAAAGUGGGAGGCGCGUACCACCCAGCGACUGGUAGAGCGCCCCGUCUCGUUGUGUCUGCCGUCUCUGCAGGAGCCAUGCAGUGUCUGGGGGACCGAUGGGAAUAGUGUGCGAGACGAAGAGGAAUA